GAUCACAUUUAGGGUUUUCUUGUCAAAGAUCCUGGAGUGGUUUGAUAUCCCCUUUUCCAUCUUGAGUGAUGAGCAAACUGACUUGCCCAGGGUCAUGUAACUAGAAAACUGAAAAUGCAUCGCCUAUGUAUGAGUCACAAAACUGGUUUCAUCAACAUUCAAUCAUAUGAAGAUUUGGUGAUGAAAAAAAAUUAUAAAGAGACAAUCCACUGGGCAAAGGCAGACCCUGUGGUUCAUGGAUUGAUCUUGAAUGAUAUCUCCCUCCAACGCCAAUGGAAAGCAAAAAAAGAAGCAAAUAAUGGAAAGAAAUAUUCUUGAUUCCUAGCCUAACAUAUAUCACCAAACUAGAGUGUUAUUCCUUUGACUUUAAUCGAUUUGACAUUAAUUUCUCUAGAUAAUCCCUAUAAAAAUUCAAAUAUUCUCAAUGAAGGAAUAUGGAAUUCUUUUAUAAGUCAUUAAUAUCUUAGGAAAGAUCAAUUUAUGAACUUUUCCUUUCAAUAGGAUAGUUACCUAUAAGGGAAAAAGAAACAUAGGACAGGCAAGUUUAAGACAGGAUCAUAAAGAACUCAUGGUUUAGGGAGGGAAAAGCUAGAUAAGUAACCAGGGUAGAACUCUGAGGAUCCAAGGGCUGAAGAAAGACCCGGUUUUCCUUCAUAGAGAUGUGCCAAGACAGGGAAAAAGGUCACUGAAAAGAGGAGAAAAGAAAAAAUAGAAGAUGUACCUAUUUCAUCUUUAUAUAUCAGUUAUGGCAGAAUGUUAAGCUAAGGCCAAGUUUCAGUCAACACUGAACUAGGAAAAUGUCAUAUACUUUACUUCGUGUGGUAGUUAGAAAUUAGGUGGUAUAUGGAAGACUUCAAGAAGACUAAAACCUAGUUAUGAG
Molecule: long non-coding RNA, 880 nt
Filed under: Monodelphis domestica (gray short-tailed opossum)
Lineage: Eukaryota; Metazoa; Chordata; Mammalia; Didelphimorphia; Didelphidae
Description: lncRNA (ENSMODG00000047788.1)
Source: RNAcentral